RNAcentral lists this ribosomal RNA (853 nucleotides) under human gut metagenome. Its description in RNAcentral is "bacterial SSU rRNA". It matches the Rfam family "Bacterial small subunit ribosomal RNA", at positions 353 to 1217 of the family's 1533-position model. The record is from RNAcentral.
AGUGGGGAAUAUUGCACAAUGGGCGCAAGCCUGAUGCAGCGACGCCGCGUGAGGGAUGGAGGCCUUCGGGUUGUAAACCUCUUUUAUCGGGGAGCAAGCGAGAGUGAGUUUACCCGUUGAAUAAGCACCGGCUAACUACGUGCCAGCAGCCGCGGUAAUACGUAGGGUGCAAGCGUUAUCCGGAAUUAUUGGGCGUAAAGGGCUCGUAGGCGGUUCGUCGCGUCCGGUGUGAAAGUCCAUCGCUUAACGGUGGAUCCGCGCCGGGUACGGGCGGGCUUGAGUGCGGUAGGGGAGACUGGAAUUCCCGGUGUAACGGUGGAAUGUGUAGAUAUCGGGAAGAACACCAAUGGCGAAGGCAGGUCUCUGGGCCGUUACUGACGCUGAGGAGCGAAAGCGUGGGGAGCGAACAGGAUUAGAUACCCUGGUAGUCCACGCCGUAAACGGUGGAUGCUGGAUGUGGGGCCCGUUCCACGGGUUCCGUGUCGGAGCUAACGCGUUAAGCAUCCCGCCUGGGGAGUACGGCCGCAAGGCUAAAACUCAAAGAAAUUGACGGGGGCCCGCACAAGCGGCGGAGCAUGCGGAUUAAUUCGAUGCAACGCGAAGAACCUUACCUGGGCUUGACAUGUUCCCGACGGUCGUAGAGAUACGGCUUCCCUUCGGGGCGGGUUCACAGGUGGUGCAUGGUCGUCGUCAGCUCGUGUCGUGAGAUGUUGGGUUAAGUCCCGCAACGAGCGCAACCCUCGCCCCGUGUUGCCAGCGGAUUAUGCCGGGAACUCACGGGGGACCGCCGGGGUUAACUCGGAGGAAGGUGGGGAUGACGUCAGAUCAUCAUGCCCCUUACGUCCAGGGCUUC